UACGUAGGGAGCAAGCGUUGUCCGGAAUCAUUGGGCGUAAAGCGCGCGUAGGUGGCUUUGUAAGUCCGCUGUGAAAGUCAAAGGCUCAACCUUUGAAAGCCGGUGGAUACUGUGGAGCUAGAGUCCGGAAGAGGCGAGUGGAAUUCCUGGUGUAGCGGUGAAAUGCGCAGAUAUCGGGAAGAACACCAAUGGCGAAAGCAGCUCUCUGGGACGGUACUGACGCUGAGACGCGAAAGCGUGGGGAGCAAACAGG
RNAcentral lists this ribosomal RNA (253 nucleotides) under uncultured bacterium. RNAcentral's name for it is "partial 16S ribosomal RNA". It matches the Rfam family "Bacterial small subunit ribosomal RNA", at positions 524 to 776 of the family's 1533-position model. The record is from RNAcentral.